GCUGGCGGCGCGCCUAACACAUGCAAGUCGAACGAGAGAUGAGGAGCUCGCUCUUCAAAUCGAGCGGCGAACGGGUGAGUAACGCGUGAGGAACCUGCCUCAAAGAGGGGGACAACAGUUGGAAACGACUGCUAAUACCGCAUAAGCCCACGGCUCGGCAUCGAGCAGGGGGAAAAGGAGCAAUCCGCUUUGGGAUGGCCUCGCGUCCGAUUAGCUAGUUGGUGAGGUAACGGCCCACCAAGGCGACGAUCGGUAGCCGGACUGAGAGGUUGAACGGCCACAUUGGGACUGAGACACGGCCCAGACUCCUACGGGAGGCAGCAGUGGGGAAUAUUGCACAAUGGGGGAAACCCUGAUGCAGCGACGCCGCGUGGAGGAAGAAGGUCUUCGGAUUGUAAACUCCUGUUGUUGAGGAAGAUAAUGACGGUACUCAACAAGGAAGUGACGGCUAACUACGUGCCAGCAGCCGCGGUAAAACGUAGGUCACAAGCGUUGUCCGGAAUUACUGGGUGUAAAGGGAGCGCAGGCGGGAGAACAAGUUGGAAGUGAAAUCCAUGGGCUCAACCCAUGAACUGCUUUCAAAACUGUUUUUCUUGAGUAGUGCAGAGGUAGGCGGAAUUCCCGGUGUAGCGGUGGAAUGCGUAGAUAUCGGGAGGAACACCAGUGGCGAAGGCGGCCUACUGGGCACCAACUGACGCUGAGGCUCGAAAGUGUGGGUAGCAAACAGGAUUAGAUACCCUGGUAGUCCACACCGUAAACGAUGAUUACUAGGUGUUGGAGGAUUGACCCCUUCAGUGCCGCAGUUAACACAAUAAGUAAUCCACCUGGGGAGUACGACCGCAAGGUUGAAACUCAAAGGAAUUGAC
This 866-nucleotide ribosomal RNA is filed under the name uncultured bacterium. RNAcentral's name for it is "bacterial SSU rRNA". It matches the Rfam family "Bacterial small subunit ribosomal RNA", at positions 35 to 914 of the family's 1533-position model. The record is from RNAcentral.